GUUUCUUAUAUUGUAGAACAUUUAAGUUUUUUUCUUUACUCAAUUUUUUUUGUAUUUCAGUUGCGGUUAAAAGCAGUUAAAAUAACUUAGGAGGACAGAAAUUUGCUAUUGGUGUGCUCACCAGCAACAGCUAAACCUAGUUGAAAUGGUGGACUCAUAACUCAAUAAUGAUAAAUUGAAAACAAUAAAGGCCUGAUGACAAAGUUAAAAUUAUGGUGCAUAAAGAUAAGAAUUACACAGUUGUUCAGAUAAGAGUUGUGCGCAGCUUACUUAUAUACUUAUGAAGACUAAAUAUGAAGAAGUCCUUAUGUUUACAAAUCUCAGCCAAAAGAGGAGAAUGAUCCAAGUUGCCAGAAAAGGUUUGAUCUUCAAUUUGUCACUGCCAGAACUAACAAACUGUUCUGAGAGCAACAGAACAUUAUAUUCCAUGCACAAUUUUGUUUAAAGAAGAGGAUUCUGGAAAAAAAUGUUUUAUAUCAGAUAUCACAGAUAAUUUGAUCCAAAAAUCGGCUUCCCGAAAAGCCAUGUAUCAGGAUUUGUUAACAAUAUAGUGGAUGGAACUUCAAUCGUCUAUGCAGAUAUGGACUAUGGGGACGAAGGAAUAUGUCAUUCACAUUUAACUAGUAGAAAAUGAUGUCUGCUGGUAAUUAUGAUUUAGAAGAAAAACUGAAGUAUACAAUGUGAUUCAGAGAGGACAUUCGCGUACCAACCCAGCUAUUAUAUACCGCAUGAUUCCUACUCAAUCAAGUCUUUUGACGAUCUACAAAAAAUAGUAAUGUGAAGAUCUGGAAUCCUUCAGAAGCCUAACAAAUUGGAGGGUCGCUUUAAGCUCUACAGUUGUUCCUAUUCGAAUGAUGUAAAUAAAUGUUAAAUUUACUAAUAACAA
Molecule: long non-coding RNA, 886 nt
Organism: Trichoplusia ni (cabbage looper)
Lineage: Eukaryota; Metazoa; Arthropoda; Insecta; Lepidoptera; Noctuidae
Exons: 15
Source: RefSeq, a predicted model, not a curated record